AUGAACGUUGGCGGCGUGUCUAAGGCAUGCAAGUCGAGCGAUUCAUGCCCCGCAAGGGGUAUGACGAGCGGCAGACGGGUGCGUAACACAUUGGUAACCUACCUUCGAGACGGGGAUAGCUUCCCGAAAGGGAAAUUAAUACCCGAUGGUCAUGGGGGGACAUAUGUCAUUCCCAUGUAAAGAUUUAUCACUCGAAGAGGGGCCUAUGGCCUAUCAGCUUGUUGGCGAGGUAAUGGCUCACCAAGGCUUUGACGGGUAGGGGAUGUGAGAGCAUGAUCCCCCUCACUGGGACUGAGACACUGCCCAGACUCCUACGGGAGGCUGCAGUCAAGAAUAUUCCGCAAUGCGCGAAAGCGUGACGGAGCGACGCCGCGUGCAGGAAGAAGCCCCUCGGGGUGUAAACUGCUUUUACGAGGGAAGAAUUUGUGACGGUACCUCGUGAAUAAGAGGUUGCUAACUCUGU
Molecule: ribosomal RNA, 463 nt
Filed under: uncultured bacterium
Lineage: Bacteria
Description: bacterial SSU rRNA
Rfam family: Bacterial small subunit ribosomal RNA
Source: RNAcentral